AUCAGUGGCACCAGGAAUCUGUGUUUCUUUUUGUUGUGCCAUCUUGACGUGUCAGCUUCCCCACUAGAGGAAGACCAUUCUUCAGUCAAGGGUAUACGAGUAGCUGUGCUCCCCUGUUAGAUUUUAAGAAGAUCAUCCUGGCUGAUUGUGAGAGUAUAAGAGUGAAAGCAAAAUAUCCAAUUAGAAAGAUAUCAAAGGUGUCUAGACAAGAGAUGAUGGUGGCUU
RNAcentral lists this small RNA (225 nucleotides) under Dasypus novemcinctus (nine-banded armadillo). RNAcentral describes it as "7SK RNA (ENSDNOG00000029713.1)". Lineage: Eukaryota; Metazoa; Chordata; Mammalia; Cingulata; Dasypodidae. The record is from RNAcentral.